GAUGAACGCUGGCGGCGUGCCUAAUACAUGCAAGUCGAGCGAACAGACGAGGAGCUUGCUCCUCUGACGUUAGCGGCGGACGGGUGAGUAACACGUAGAUAACCUACCUAUAAGACUGGGAUAACUUCGGGAAACCGGAGCUAAUACCGGAUAACAUGUUGAACCGCAUGGUUUAACAGUGAAAGACGGUCUUGCUGUCACUUAUAGAUGGAUCCGCGCCGCAUUAGCUAGUUGGUAAGGUAACGGCUUACCAAGGCAACGAUGCGUAGCCGACCUGAGAGGGGGAUCGGCCACACUGGAACUGAGACACGGUCCAGACUCCUACGGGAGGCAGCAGUAGGGAAUCUUCCGCAAUGGGCGAAAGCCUGACGGAGCAACGCCGCGUGAGUGAAGAAGGUCUUCGGAUCGUAAAACUCUGUUAUUAGGGAAGAACAAAUGUGUAAGUAACUAUGCACGUCUUGACGGUACCUAAUCAGAAAGCCACGGCUAACUACGUG
RNAcentral lists this ribosomal RNA (497 nucleotides) under uncultured bacterium. RNAcentral describes it as "partial 16S ribosomal RNA". It matches the Rfam family "Bacterial small subunit ribosomal RNA", at positions 28 to 507 of the family's 1533-position model. The record is from RNAcentral.